AUUUAUUGCACUGAAAGCGAGUAAACAAAUAAGGUAUCAAUCCAUAUUUAAGGAACUGAGCAUCAAUCAUAAUCAAAUUAGUAUAGGGACUCCCCUUUAAUUAAGGAAUCAUAGUCAAAUGGUAAUAAGCAGUCAUUUUUAAAAGGAAAGCAAUCACAAAGUAUGGCAUGGUCACAUAAGGAAGUCCCCUUUAAUUAAUAAAUCACAAAGUAUGACAUGGUCACAUAAGGAAACAAAAAUAGUAUAAGGUAUACAAUGAAGACUAGAUGCAUGAUACUUAACCAGAGAAACAUGUCAAACAAAUAAAUCAACAUACUUGUGCACACAUAUAAGGAAAAAUACCACUUUAAUUUUGGAAAAUAAUUUCGAAUUAAUGAAUGAGAUUGAAAACCUUGGAGAUCAGUUAUUAAUUGAGGAAUGUAUCCCACUGAUUGAGGAAGAAAAUUCGAAACCAAUACCAAAUUGUAAGGAGAAUAAAUCAUAAUUUUAAAACCAGUAAUCACAGUCUUAAAGAGAGAUUUUAAAAAUCAGUAUAAAAUCACCAUAUAAACAGCCAGAAACCAUAAGAGAAGAACACAACACACUAGCAACAAGAGUCAAAGUAAAGAGCACGGAACUCAAAGAAGAACCCAGAAGAACAUGCAAACAGGAAAAUUCAUAUUACAAACAUGUCGGGUUAUGGUUUUCGUUAGAUUUUGACAAAAACUUUAGAAGUAGUACUAAGAGUUACGGACAAGUACUCGAAAAUCAGAAAAGUAAAGUUUUUUCGAAAGGGGUUAAGAAACCCUAGAAAUAGAAAUUAAAGUAUGGAACCCUGGUUAACAAGGAAAACAGACAAACCAGUGAAACAACAAACACAAAUGAAUAUAAAAUACUCAGAAAGAGUAGAAGAAACGAUUUUGAAGAAGGGGUCAGAAACCUUUAUUUGAAAGAGUGGUAAUCAUCCGAAAAAUUUGGAAUAACUGGAAAUGCUAAGUAAAAAUAAGGUAGAAAAAAAAAAAUCAAACUAAGCAUUAUUUAAAAAGAGCAGAGAUUAAAGAAGAAAAAUUAGGGGUUUUCAAACAAAUUAGGGAAAACAAAGAACCUGGCUGUGAAACUCAUAUACAAUGCCAUAUGAAGCAUCAUCGUACAAAGACCACCGGAGAAAAGCCGGAAAACAGACCCAACUGAAGCUUCAGUGUCCGUCUUUCAUGGCGGAAGCUGCUGGGCUUCAAGCUUUAGAGAGAAAACAGCGAUACAAGGACUCCAUGGUUGUUGGAGGUCGAGAGAAGUGAGGGAGGAGUGAGCCAGAGAGGCGAUGGUCAUCAUCAGAGAAGAAGGAGAGAACCAGAAGGUUCUAGAGAGCAAAUGUUUAGAGAGAGAGAGAGAC
Molecule: long non-coding RNA, 1369 nt
Filed under: Nicotiana benthamiana
Lineage: Eukaryota; Viridiplantae; Streptophyta; Magnoliopsida; Solanales; Solanaceae
Description: long non-coding RNA (NBEN_LNC014712)
Source: RNAcentral